This 423-nucleotide unclassified non-coding RNA is filed under the name soil metagenome. Its description in RNAcentral is "partial contains 5.8S ribosomal RNA, internal transcribed spacer 2, and large subunit ribosomal RNA". The stretch from base 1 to 120 matches the Rfam family "5.8S ribosomal RNA", at positions 35 to 154 of the family's 154-position model. The record is from RNAcentral.
GAUGAAGAACGUAGCGAAAUGCGAUAAGUAAUGUGAAUUACAGAUUUCAGUGAAUCAUCGAAUCUUUGAACGCACCUUGCGCCUUGUGGUAUUCCACAAGGCAUGCCCGUUUGAGUAUCAUUAAAUCAUCAACUCUAAAACCUUUGUGGUUUUUUUAGAGCUUGGUCUUGAGGGUUUUGCAGGCUUUUUUUUUUUUCGAGUCUGCUCCCUUUAAAUGCAUUAGCGAGACUUCCCUAUGCUGAACCGUCUCUUUGACGUGAUAAUUAUCUGCGUCGAAUUUUGGUUCUCGUUGGGCUUGCUUCUAAUCGUCUGUUAAAGACAAAACGGAUUUGGGUGCAUAUAUGCGCCUUUUUCCAAAACCUUUUUUGAUCUCAAAUCGGGUAGGACUACCCGCUGAACUUAAGCAUAUCAAUAAGCGGAGGA